CGCGUAGGUGGCUUGUUAAGCGUGUGGUGAAAGCCCGGGGCUCAACCCCGGGUCUGCCGUGCGGACUGGCAAGCUGGAGCAUAGUAGAGGCGAGUGGAAUUUCGGGUGUAGCGGUGGAAUGCGUAGAUAUCCGAAAGAACACCGGUGGCGAAGGCGGCUCGCUGGGCUAUUGCUGACACUGAUGCGCGACAGCGUGGGGAGCAAACAGGAUUAGAUACCCUGGUAGUCCACGCCGUAAACGAUGGGUACUAGGCGUCUGGGGGAGCGACCCCCUGGGUGCCGUCGCUAACGCAUGAAGUACCCCGCCUGGGGAGUACGGCCGCAAGGCUGAA
This 332-nucleotide ribosomal RNA is filed under the name uncultured Gemmatimonadota bacterium. RNAcentral describes it as "bacterial SSU rRNA". It matches the Rfam family "Bacterial small subunit ribosomal RNA", at positions 568 to 898 of the family's 1533-position model. The record is from RNAcentral. Lineage: Bacteria; Pseudomonadati; Gemmatimonadota.